Mycena rosella is the source of this 97-nucleotide non-coding RNA. NCBI's taxonomy places the organism in Eukaryota, Fungi, Basidiomycota, Agaricomycetes, Agaricales, Mycenaceae. The record is from the annotation of a GenBank genome assembly.
GACCCAGUAGCGGACGGUUCUGCGCCCGCGCCGUAUAUAGAUGAAAUGAAUUUAUGUUUGUCCAGCGACAGUCCUGGUUCGACUCCAGGCUGGGUCA